AUAAACCCGCGCUAGGGAUUGCAGUGGCAGCUUUUGACGAGGCGAGCAUCGAGCCAAAACUAUUAACGGAAAGCCCGACCCGAA
Molecule: unclassified non-coding RNA, 84 nt
Filed under: Hyunsoonleella jejuensis
Lineage: Bacteria; Pseudomonadati; Bacteroidota; Flavobacteriia; Flavobacteriales; Flavobacteriaceae
Description: Flavo-1 RNA
Source: RNAcentral